AAUAUUACAAACAUAAUUCCAUUUUUUUCUUCCUCUUAUCCUUCUAUUUUUUCUUCCUCUUAUCCUUCUAUUUUUUCAUUCCUUUUUUUUCUUUUCUAUUUUCUUUUUCUAUUUUUUUUUCUUUUUCUGCCAUCUUCUGAAAUAUUACAAACAUAAUUAUUCAACCCCACACAACUCCAAACAAGACUCUUUCAACCCUUUGAAUAGGGUGAUAAUAUUGUUUUUCACUUCUCGGCUUGAAACAUAAUUAUUCAACCCCACACAACUCCAAACAAGACUCUUUCAACCCUUUGAAUAGGGUGAUAAUAUUGUUUUUCACUUCUCGGCUUGUAAUGAGUUUUAAACAAAAAAGGGAGAAUAGGCUC
This 365-nucleotide long non-coding RNA is filed under the name Lathyrus oleraceus (garden pea). Its description in RNAcentral is "Pisum sativum (pea) long non-coding RNA (PSAT_LNC024631)". The record is from RNAcentral. Lineage: Eukaryota; Viridiplantae; Streptophyta; Magnoliopsida; Fabales; Fabaceae.